GGAUCUUGGAGAUGCCGAAGUCCCCGAUCUUCACCACCAUCCGCUGCUUGUCCAGGAGGAUGUUCUGGGUCUUGAGGUCGCGGUGGAGGAUGAGCACAGUGUCCGGCACACAGGAGGCGAUUAAUAAAUGCUGGCCAAACGUCUGUCGUUUCGUUGCUUCCAUCUUCAGUUCCCAGAAUGUCUCGCUUCCAGAGCCCUCCAUCUCCCCUGCCCAGCUCGGAGGACCUCCGGGGAUCUUCUCCCGACUCUGGGAGGGAAGGACGCCUCCGGGCUCCCGAGGUGCGGGGAUGUGACUGCACAGCCCCCUUUUAAAUCCGACUCGCUUCGCGUCCCGGCAUCGCCUUCCAGAACCACGGACCAGACGCUGGCAGAGUGAAAUCUGGAUUUUAUUCUAUCCGACACUAUAGCUGUGUAACUGAAGCAGCUUCGAGAGGAAACGUGGUCCUGAGACCCCCGGGCUGGGCAGCACCUAGUGCCGCAAAUCCGAGAUAGUAACCCUUCAACUCCGCCUCUAAGCCCCCGCAGUUCUAUUGGAAGCCCUAAAAUGAGCGUAUCGGGGACAUGAAGCUCCUGAUCCUUUUCCUAUAAAUUUAUCUUCUUGUUUCUGGUUCUUUGUUAAAUCCUUUUGGAACUUGGCCCCCUCCCACUGGCGCUACGCUUGCAAUAAACUUUGCCCCUUGUCUUGAA
This is a long non-coding RNA of Antechinus flavipes (yellow-footed antechinus), 687 nucleotides long. RefSeq lists it as uncharacterized. The transcript is spliced from 2 exons. Lineage: Eukaryota; Metazoa; Chordata; Mammalia; Dasyuromorphia; Dasyuridae. The record is from RefSeq and is a predicted model, not a curated record.